This 163-nucleotide small RNA is filed under the name Histoplasma ohiense. Its description in RNAcentral is "hypothetical lncRNA". The record is from RNAcentral. Lineage: Eukaryota; Fungi; Ascomycota; Eurotiomycetes; Onygenales; Ajellomycetaceae.
CACACUCCACAUUUGUGUAGUUCUAACAAUUCCAUUGUUAUAUUCAACGAGCAAAACCCCGAACGAGCCCAAUUCUUCGAAUUAGACAACUUGCUUGAGUUAUUCUUGAUUCUCUGUUUGAGAAAACUCUGAUCGAUUUUUGUGUUCCAACACACCCGUGCCA